GAUGAACGCUGGCGGCGUGCCUAAUACAUGCAAGUCGAGCGAACGGACGAGAAGCUUGCUUCUCUGAUGUUAGCGGCGGACGGGUGAGUAACACGUGGAUAACCUACCUAUAAGACUGGGAUAACUUCGGGAAACCGUAGCUAAUACCGGAUAAUAUUUUGAACCGCAUGGUUCAAAAGUGAAAGACGGUCUUGCUGUCACUUAUAGAUGGAUCCGCGCUGCAUUAGCUAGUUGGUAAGGUAACGGCUUACCAAGGCAACGAUGCAUAGCCGACCUGAGAGGGUGAUCGGACACACUGGAACUGAGACACGGUCCAGACUCCUACGGGAGGCAGCAGUAGGGAAUCUUCCGCAAUGGGCGAAAGCCUGACGGAGCAACGCCGCGUGAGUGAUGAAGGUCUUCGGAUCGUAAAACUCUGUUAUUAGGGAAGAACAUAUGUGUAAGUAACUGGGCACAUCUUGACGGUACCUAAUCAGAAAGCCACGGCUAACUACGUG
Molecule: ribosomal RNA, 497 nt
Filed under: uncultured bacterium
Lineage: Bacteria
Description: partial 16S ribosomal RNA
Rfam family: Bacterial small subunit ribosomal RNA
Source: RNAcentral